GCAGGCUUUCGCCUUGAAUAGUUUAGCAUGGAAUAAUAAAGUAGGACUUUGGUUCUAUUUUGUUGGUUUUAGGUACCAAAGUAAUGGUUAAUAGGAACAGUUGGGGGCAUUCGUAUUUAACUGUCAGAGGUGAAAUUCUUAGA
Molecule: ribosomal RNA, 143 nt
Filed under: Theileria annulata
Lineage: Eukaryota; Apicomplexa; Aconoidasida; Piroplasmida; Theileriidae
Description: partial small subunit ribosomal RNA
Rfam family: Eukaryotic small subunit ribosomal RNA
Source: RNAcentral